UACGAGGGGUCCUAGCGUUGUUCGGAAUCAUUGGGCGUAAAGCGCAUGUAGGCGGCUCAUCAAGUCAGAUGUGAAAUCCCGGGGCUUAACCCCGGACGUGCAUUUGAAACUGGUGGGCUUGAGUAUGACAGAGGGUAGCGGAAUUCCUGGUGUAGUGGUGAAAUACGUAGAUAUCAGGAGGAACAUCGGUGGCGAAGGCGGCUACCUGGGUCAAUACUGACGCUGAGAUGCGAAAGCGUGGGGAUCAAACAGG
Molecule: unclassified non-coding RNA, 253 nt
Filed under: uncultured Pseudobdellovibrionaceae bacterium
Lineage: Bacteria; Pseudomonadati; Bdellovibrionota; Bdellovibrionia; Bdellovibrionales; Pseudobdellovibrionaceae
Description: uncultured Bdellovibrionaceae bacterium contains 16S-23S intergenic spacer region
Rfam family: Bacterial small subunit ribosomal RNA
Source: RNAcentral